GACAGAGGGUGCAAACGUUGUUCGGAAUUACUGGGCGUAAAGCGUGUGUAGGCGGCCACGUAAGUCGGAUGUGAAAGCCCCGGGCUCAACCCGGGAAGUGCACUCGAUACUGCGUGGCUUGAGUACUGGAGAGGUUGGUGGAAUUCUCGGUGUAGAGGUGAAAUUCGUAGAUAUCGAGAGGAACACCGGUGGCGAAAGCGGCUCACUGGAUCGAAACUGACGCUGAGGUGCGAAAGCUAGGGUAGCAAACGGG
RNAcentral lists this ribosomal RNA (253 nucleotides) under uncultured bacterium. RNAcentral describes it as "partial 16S ribosomal RNA". It matches the Rfam family "Bacterial small subunit ribosomal RNA", at positions 524 to 776 of the family's 1533-position model. The record is from RNAcentral.